GACGAACGCUGGCGGCGUGCUUAACACAUGCAAGUCGAACGGAAAGGCCCUGCUUUUGUGGGGUGCUCGAGUGGCGAACGGGUGAGUAACACGUGAGUAACCUGCCCUUGCCUUUGGGAUAACUUCAGGAAACUGGGGCUAAUACCGGAUAGGAGCUCCUGCUGCAUGGUGGGGGUUGGAAAGUUUCGGCGGUUGGGGAUGGACUCGCGGCUUAUCAGCUUGUUGGUGGGGUAGUGGCUUACCAAGGCUUUGACGGGUAGCCGGCCUGAGAGGGUGACCGGCCACAUUGGGACUGAGAUACGGGCCAGAGCACUACGGGAGGCAGCAGUAGGGAAUAUAGCACAAUGGGCGGAAGCAGGAUGCAGCAAGGCCGCGUGCGGGAUGACGGCCUUCGGGUUGUAAACCGCUUUGGCCUGUGACGGAGCGUGAGUGACGGUAAUGGGUAAAGAAGCACCGGCUAACUACGUG
This 468-nucleotide ribosomal RNA is filed under the name uncultured bacterium. RNAcentral describes it as "partial 16S ribosomal RNA". It matches the Rfam family "Bacterial small subunit ribosomal RNA", at positions 28 to 507 of the family's 1533-position model. The record is from RNAcentral.